RNAcentral lists this non-coding RNA (25 nucleotides) under Drosophila erecta. Lineage: Eukaryota; Metazoa; Arthropoda; Insecta; Diptera; Drosophilidae. RNAcentral also lists the same sequence under 1 other name. The record is from RNAcentral.
UAACUGCGAAGUCGAUCAGGUCCGG